RNAcentral lists this long non-coding RNA (229 nucleotides) under Pan troglodytes (chimpanzee). RNAcentral's name for it is "long non-coding RNA NONPTRT014643". The record is from RNAcentral. Lineage: Eukaryota; Metazoa; Chordata; Mammalia; Primates; Hominidae.
GUAGGCAUAGUUAGUCAGAAUUAACCAACCACAUUGUUCUCUAGUAGGAAUUGUUGGCCAACUGAAGGCUGGUGCCUCACUGGGCACUGCAGGCAGCAAGCUUGGCAUGGAGGGCACAUCUCACUUCUCCCCUGAGCCUGAUGCAUCCAUGGCACUUCCUUGCUUGGAACACUGGCUGCCCCACAACACAUGCCAGCUCCAUGGCCUAGCAGUCCUUGCCUGAAUUAGU